UCCUACGGGGGGCAGCAGUGGGGAAUAUUGGGCAAUGGGCGCAAGCCUGACCCAGCAACGCCGCGUGAAGGAAGAAGGCUUUCUGGUUGUAAACUUCUUUUCUCAGGGACGAAGCAAGUGACGGUACCUGAGGAAUAAGCCACGGCUAACUACGUGCCAGCAGCCGCGGUAAUACGUAGGUGGCAAGCGUUAUCCGGAUUUACUGGGUGUAAAGGGCGUGUAGGCGGGGACGGAAGUCAGAUGUGAAAACCACGGGCUCAACCUGUGGCCUGCAUUUGAAACUGGGUUUCUUGAGUACUGGAGAG
This 305-nucleotide ribosomal RNA is filed under the name uncultured bacterium. Its description in RNAcentral is "bacterial SSU rRNA". It matches the Rfam family "Bacterial small subunit ribosomal RNA", at positions 337 to 656 of the family's 1533-position model. The record is from RNAcentral.